AAGCUUUUACUGCUUGGCCUGUAAAAAGAAAACAGCACGAACCAGCAGAGAAGCUGACAAGUGACACGAAUACAGUACAUGCUAAUGUGCAGAGAGAAACAGCCUUGAGGAUUUAAACUGGCUGCACCAGAAAAAAAUAUCUUUACCCAGAUAUGUGGUCCCUCAUGAAUUAUACUAUUAUUUUAGUUGAUUUUACCUGACAUCACCCUAUGAUUUUCUUCAGUGACAAGAAAAUUGCAGCCGGCCCUUGACAGUCGGUCACAAAUUGACUGAACAAAACAAAAUCAAACAGUGAAGUAAUCCCCAAGUAAAUUUAAUGAAACCUAAAUCCCAAAGGGCAGCACACUUCUGUAGGCAAUGGUCUUAUUUAAUAAAUUUCCCCCUGCUUUCACUUUUAGAGCUAUAUUUACACAGACAAAUUUAAUUCAUUGGGUUUACAUUUCCUCCUUCCCUUAGUUUGUCCACCAGGCACAUAUGGGAGGGACUGUAAACAGGUAUGUCAGUGCCCAGCAGAGAAUGAGGAGUGUCACCCAGUCACCCGGAGAUGUACCUGUCUGCCUGGCUACCAUGGAAACCGCUGUCAUCUCUGUAUCAUCAUGGUAGGUCAUACAUCCAUGGAUAUGACAGUAGAAAACUGAGAAGAUGCUUCCUCUAUGCUUGCUGCCAUUUUGAAUACUUACUGGCAUUAAACCGAGAUCAAUCCAGGAUGCCCAAAUGUCACUUAUGGUCCAUAUUGCCAAAGGAAGUGUAAGUGCCUGAAUGGUGGCAGCUGUGACACUGUGACUGGCACCUGUGACUGCCCUCCUGGCUUCAUAGGGGCCGACUGCAGUCAAAUUUGUCCUGAAGAUUACUAUGGACAGGCCUGUGUCCAGCGGUGUUCCUGUGGCUCAGGACAGUGUGACCCAGUGACUGGAGGGUGCCAGUGUCCACCUGGCCAAAUGGGAGCCAGGUGUCAGCCAGGAUGCCCCCAGUUGUAAGUUAAAAUGUACUUGUAAAACUGGUGGCCUUUGCAAUCCUGUGGAUGGAAGCUGCCACUGUGCCCCUGGAUGGACAGGAGAUGAUUGUGACAAAGCAUGCCUUCCUGGAUUUUAUGGUUUGAACUGUGCUCACAUCUGAGACUGCAAAAAUGGAGCCAAUUGUGAUGCAGCAAGUGGACAGUGCAUUUGCCUAGCUGGUUUCCAUGGCAGCCAAUGUGAAAAAGAAUGCAGGUCAGGCCAGGAUGGCCCUAACUGCUCUUUGAAGUGCCAGUGUGUCCACAUAGCUGGCUGUAACCCCCUCAGCGAGAUCUGCACUUGCCCUGCGAGGAGAGUGGGACCAACCUGUGCAGAGGAUGGUUUGGACAACCCUCAAUAACCAAAUACUAACAGCUUUUCAGUGGAUGAAUAGAAUGUUGCUGAGGUUCACCCACGGUUCAUCAUCUUAACUUUGGCAGAGAAAUGUACUUACUCAACCAUCUUCGGCCCAACCUCGCCUGUUGUGAGGUGAAAAACAGGACGUCUCAACUUUAUGGCCUCCAAGCAUACGUUCCAUUCUCUAGCCUACCCUUCCCAACUUCCUUUUGCUGAAGAACAUGCCCGAGAAAAAGAGAAUGUUUUUUCAAGAUCCCAAUUGUAGUAACAUUUUGGACUAAUAAAUGAAACUCCUUUUUUAUAUGCACAGGCGGUAUUUAAAUUUGGAAGUAAGAACUGCUUUUCAGUUCAGGUUGGACUACACUGAAAUAUUCACACCUAUUCACUGAAGACCUCAGUGGCCAUUAAGUAGCUGGAUCCUCUUUAGAAAUGUCUAGAAUUUCAUCUAUUUAUUCUCAGUAUCCUGCUUCACAGCUCAGUCAGCUUCAGAUUGUUAAGGUAUUGUAUUUCAAACACGGCUUUUGGUGUGGGAGACCAUUAAGACAUUAGCCGCAUAAAGAUCAGGGUGAAAGCAUGACGUCCACACUUACAAUGAAUCAUCAAAGUGUUUAGUGUGUUCUCCCCUUCACUGGUCAGUGGACAGGAAGGAAAAGUGAGUAGAAGUGAUCAAGACAAGUGCUUAGCCUGCUCUGGGGGACACAGAUUCCCCGUAGAGUAGGGCCUGACUGGAAUCAGGUUUUUAAUCCACAUUGUAGUCUUGACUCACAUGGCUCAUCCUUUGGGUCAGUUCUAUAGCCAUUUGUAAGCAUGAGUCCUUUGAUAAGCCCCAGAAAGAUACAGCAAUAAAUAUCAUCGUGUUUUUGCUCUCAACUAGUUGAUCAGUAUUUAACAUUUCAUAUGACAGGUUAAUUCACAUGAAAGAAGAAUAAUUUUCUUGAUUGGAAAUGUUGUUACUCAUGUUAUCCAUCCUUUGGGGGAUAAAAAUAGAGAAUACUGAAAUUAUCUGACUAGAUAUUUGACUUAUGCAUAAUGUCUAGUGUAACUUUCAAAGCAAAACUGAAGAUUGUUUUUCAGAUUCUUUUCCAUUACAGCUCAU
Molecule: non-coding RNA, 2445 nt
Organism: Vicugna pacos (alpaca)
Lineage: Eukaryota; Metazoa; Chordata; Mammalia; Artiodactyla; Camelidae
Source: RefSeq, a predicted model, not a curated record